AAGAAAGGUUCAAGGCUAAGACCGCCACGUCCUGUGGCAACGCCUUUGUGACCAACAUCUGUUGG
This 65-nucleotide small RNA is filed under the name Lentibacillus persicus. RNAcentral describes it as "Bacillaceae-1 RNA". It matches the Rfam family "Bacillaceae-1 RNA". The record is from RNAcentral. Lineage: Bacteria; Bacillati; Bacillota; Bacilli; Caryophanales; Bacillaceae.